Astatotilapia calliptera (eastern happy) is the source of this 2057-nucleotide long non-coding RNA. NCBI's taxonomy places the organism in Eukaryota, Metazoa, Chordata, Actinopteri, Cichliformes, Cichlidae. The record is from Ensembl.
UGGCAAUAAUCCAAGACUCAUGUUACUUAAAAGCUCUGGAGACAUGUAGGAGGCAUUUCUGUGUCACCUUUACAAAGGUAAACUGAUACAACAUACAAAUCAAAUGACAACUAGAAUGCUAAAACCACAGUGUGGGAGCUGUGCCCUAGAUAUUUGCACUGACUUAAUCCAAUUGAAAUAGUAUGAGUGAGUUGCAGGGGCUCCCAGGUCUGUUGCUUGCUUAUGUAUGUGAUGCAUAAUAGAAGUUGACGAGGUUGGUGAUAGAUCACAGCCCAGCCCCCAUCCUCCCCCCUCCACGUUCAUCAUCUUCCCUAAACGCGUUAGUGGAGCACAAACCAGAAGCAGCCUUAAUCUGUCAACAUGCCCUUUAAUUGGAGGGAGAAAACAACACGUGCUUCUGGUUAUGCCAUUCCUAAGUGCACAUGCCAAAGAAACACAGAGUUCAUGGAAGAAGUGAUCCCGGGAGAGCAGGGCAUAAUUAAAAGUAUCUUUUAAUAGGCUUGUAAUGCUGAGCCAGACUCUUGUUGCUUUAAGUAGAGGGCGAACUCUGUGGCUGGAGACGGACAUGCAAGGGGCUUCUGCUGAGGGAGCCUGUAAACGAUACAUUGCCUCGUCGUCAUCAGACAUGCAGUCUCUGCCUCAGUCACCACACUCGAGAUGACAGCCACUUUCCACCCCUGCCGCGGACACCUUGGCUUACCCGUUGCCGUGUUCUUUUGUUCUCAGAAUGAGAGAUUCUCCUCCACGACAUCACCUCUCCUCAUCUCCUUCCCAGCCACUUUGGCAAGUUGUGUUCUACCUCCUACUCACAGCACCAGCGGGGAGUGAGAACUGGGACUAAGAGGUUGAUUUGGGGCCUGCUACACUGUAAUCAAAUGAGACUGCUUAGGGGAGAGGAGAAGGAGGAGGUGGAGUAUUAUGUUCUGUCAUGCAUUCCACUGCAGCAUUGUUGCUUUUUUGUUUUUGUCAGGGCAGGCUUUGAUGCUGUAUCCUCUUACCUUUGUAGUCCCGGUAGCCAUGUUUCAUAAACACGGAAUGGGAAACAUCCUCAGCAUUAGAAAUUUAGAUUGCUGCUUUCCUCCUGCCACUCUGCAUUCCGCACGUGCCCGGUCGCAUUCUCCAUCUCCCAAUGCUGAGUAACCAUUUUGUCCGACAUCUGACACACUGCCCUGGGUUAUUGAGCCAGACGUGGAAAUCCAAAGCGGAGAUGCUCUCCUUAAUGCCUGACACCUGGUGCAGAUUUGGAAGGGAUUGCACUACAGGGUAUGCUUUACAAGUGGACGCUACUCUGGAGUGUUGCAGCUCACCUUACCGCUUGCAGUCACAUCUGCAGACUGUGCUGGAGCAGAAUGGCUAGCGAACAUAAACACAGCAAGGACAUCAAAGGCCGGCAGGUUGGGCUAUACCACCUGAGCAUGCUGAUUGCAGUGCAGCUGCGUCCAGUUCUGUCACUGGUCCUUAGUGCUCCAGCAGCCUGGUCAAAAAGACAUCCUGGCAGGGUCCCAGGGUGGAUGCAUCGCCCACGCACGCUGCUCUUGCCAGAUCCCAGAAGUCUUUGUGGUGAACCACUGACCGUGCUGCUCCCUAUUUUCUUCCAACCCAGCAAAUAAUGUGUCAGAAAAAGAUUAUUGAUAGCCCAUAAAAGAAGAGGCAGAAUGUUGUUGCCACUCUGCUCCAACUUUAAGGAACAAUACAAGUGCUAAACCAUCAGUUUCAAUGGUGCACUGCUCCUGAAAGAGCACAGCAUUUAUUUUUCACAUUGUUGUUCAGUUUGAAUAAAAGGUGCUACAACUGGAACAUGAACAGACAACAAUUACUUCUAUUUUUUUUAAAUGCUGCUUCAUUUUCCUUUACAUUUGAAACCUUGUAGUGAAGUUGGCAACUUUGUACUGUGUCUAUUCAAAAGAAAAAUGAGAUCCCUCAAAAGAAACAUUGAAAUUUUCUCCAUGCUCUGUUGAGUCAUUCGCAUUUUUUGCCAACUUUACCAGACACUGGCGAAGCUGUUGCUCAUCUGGCCUAAAUGUGGCCUGAGUGGGUGAUUCUCAGACAGAUGAGGG